Molecule: non-coding RNA, 124 nt
Organism: Hordeum vulgare subsp. vulgare (domesticated barley)
Lineage: Eukaryota; Viridiplantae; Streptophyta; Magnoliopsida; Poales; Poaceae
Source: Rfam
CUACUACUCCCUCCGUCCAGAAAUACUUGUCCUAAAAAAGAAUAAAAUGGAUGUAUGUAUAACUAAAGUAAAUCUAGAUACAUCCAUUUCUAGGACAAGUAUUUCCGAAUGGAGGGAGUAUUCC